UACGAAGGGUGCAAGCGUUAAUCGGAAUUACUGGGCGUAAAGCGCGCGUAGGCGGUUUGAUAAGUGAGAUGUGAAAGCCCCGGGCUCAACCUGGGAACUGCAUCUCAUACUGUCAGGCUAGAGUACGGUAGAGGGGGGUAGAAUUCCACGUGUAGCGGUGAAAUGCGUAGAGAUGUGGAGGAAUACCAGUGGCGAAGGCGGCCCCCUGGAUCGAUACUGACGCUGAGGUGCGAAAGCGUGGGGAGCAAACAGG
RNAcentral lists this ribosomal RNA (253 nucleotides) under uncultured bacterium. Its description in RNAcentral is "partial 16S ribosomal RNA". It matches the Rfam family "Bacterial small subunit ribosomal RNA", at positions 524 to 776 of the family's 1533-position model. The record is from RNAcentral.